GAUAAACGCUAGCGGCAGGCUUAACACAUGCAAGUCGAGGGGCAGCAUAGAUUGUAGCAAUACAAUUGGUGGCGACCGGCGCACGGGUGCGUAACGCGUAUGCAACCUGCCCGUCACAGGGGGAUAAUCCGGAGAAAUCUGGUCUAAUACCCCAUAACAUAUGGAUCGGCAUCGGUUCAUGUUGAAAUUUUCGGAGGUGACGGAUGGGCAUGCGUAGCAUUAGCUUGUUGGUGAGGUAACGGCUCACCAAGGCGACGAUGCUUAGGGGGACUGAGAGGUUUUCCCCCCACACUGGUACUGAGACACGGACCAGACUCCUACGGGAGGCAGCAGUGAGGAAUAUUGGUCAAUGGGCGCAAGCUUGAACCAGCCAUGCCGCGUGCAGGAUGACGGCUCUAUGAGUUGUAAACUGCUUCUGUACGAGGGUAAAGUGGGUUACGUGUAACCUUUUGAAAGUAUCGUACGAAUAAGGAUCGGCUAACCCCGUGCCAGCCGCCGCCGUAA
RNAcentral lists this ribosomal RNA (504 nucleotides) under uncultured bacterium. Its description in RNAcentral is "partial 16S ribosomal RNA". It matches the Rfam family "Bacterial small subunit ribosomal RNA", at positions 28 to 523 of the family's 1533-position model. The record is from RNAcentral.